This 489-nucleotide ribosomal RNA is filed under the name uncultured Eubacteriales bacterium. Its description in RNAcentral is "bacterial SSU rRNA". It matches the Rfam family "Bacterial small subunit ribosomal RNA", at positions 32 to 523 of the family's 1533-position model. The record is from RNAcentral. Lineage: Bacteria; Bacillati; Bacillota; Clostridia; Eubacteriales.
AACGCUGGCGGCGUGCGUAACACAUGCAAGUCGAACGAGAAUGUACUGACAGAUCCUUAGGGUGAAGAUAGUACAGGACAGUGGCGGAUGGGUGAGUAACGCGUAAGAAACCUGCCUUUCACACCGGGAUAGCAGCUGGAAACGGCUAUUAAUACCGGAUGACACUUUUUCCCCGCAUGAGGAAGAGGUUAAAGAAUUUCGGUGAAAGAUGGUCUUGCGUCUGAUUAGCUAGUUGGUGGGGUAACGGCCUACCAAGGCGACGAUCAGUAGCCGGCCUGAGAGGGUGUACGGCCACAUUGGGACUGAGACACGGCCCAAACUCCUACGGGAGGCAGCAGUGGGGAAUUUUGCACAAUGGAGGAAACUCUGAUGCAGCGACGCCGCGUGAACGAAGAAGGUCUUCGGAUUGUAAAGUUCUGUCCUGGGUGAAGAUAAUGACGGUAACUCAGGAGGAAGCCCCGGCUAACUACGUGCCAGCCGCCGCGGUAA